Molecule: long non-coding RNA, 308 nt
Organism: Mesocricetus auratus (golden hamster)
Lineage: Eukaryota; Metazoa; Chordata; Mammalia; Rodentia; Cricetidae
Exons: 2
Source: RefSeq, a predicted model, not a curated record
CAGGUAACUUUACCACUGUCCUGGUUCUAUUGUUUUGACCUCAGCAAGGUCAAAGUAGUAGGAGGGAUUGAGUGAAGACAGCAAGGAUCCUGAAAGAAUAUGGACACAGACCUGUGAUCAAAGAGCUCAUCAAAGUGGAGCAAUCAUCGAGUCAAGUGGCCUGAUCAUUUGUAGCAAUUAAGCCAUAGAAUCCGUGUCUACUCUAGCCCAUCACUGUAGCAGCCCUCAUCUCCUCUGUCCUGUUUUAAUCAGUUAUGUCAGUAGUUCCCUCCUGUCCUCUUUUAAAUAAAUGAGUUUGUUUCUCAUCA